RNAcentral lists this long non-coding RNA (4825 nucleotides) under Sus scrofa (pig). RNAcentral describes it as "lncRNA (ENSSSCG00030040767.1)". The record is from RNAcentral. Lineage: Eukaryota; Metazoa; Chordata; Mammalia; Artiodactyla; Suidae.
GCCUCUGCAUUCCUGUGGCAAGAAGGGAUCUUGUGCAUCUGGUGUAGGCUGGUCUGGAGGCUAAAUGUCCAAGAUCAAGAUGUCGGCAAGACUGUAUUCCUUCUGAAGGAACCAAGGAAGUAUCUGUCCCGGGCCUUUCUCACAGCUUCUGGUAGUUCCUUAGCUUGCAGCAUAUCUCCAAUCUGUACAUGGCGUUCUCCUUGUGUGUGCAUCUGUCUCUUGCAUUCCUCCUAUAGCUGUUAGGCCACACUGCCUCUCUCGUUGUGCCUCAUUUCUUUUAUCCACACCUGUUUGGUUUCUAUCAGAGGUCCAGCAAAGAGUUUGGGAGCAUCUCUGAUUUCAGGAUCUCAAGACCGUCCCUCCUGUGAGUAGGGAGAGGUUCUUCUCUGCAUCCAGGGUCCCUACAAAAGGUGCAAGCCUUCUGAACAGCCCUGCUGACUGACUUCCUUUUAAAAUGCCAGAACCAUUAAGUACAGUAAAUUUGUUCUCCUAGAGAGGGUGGGUUGCAGUCAGCAGGAGUAAAAGCCAUGCCACUUAUUGGUCUAAAAAGGUAUUUAGCAGCUACAAAUAACCUCCUGGAUUAAUGGAAUCAACAGUCUUUAGGUCUCUAGAUGUAAAGGGCCCAUUUAUUCGACAUCCAUUCAUUUAUUCAACAAGCCGUGGUGCCGGUUUGGGUCGAGCUAAUUCUGAAUUGAGACUGCUGUCCUUCCUCUUAAGGCUUUCUUCAAUAAUUAUUCUGUUAUUGACACAUCAGUGACCCCACCAUGACUAAUGGGUUAGUAUUACUGAGAGAUGCAGCUAAAGGUCACCUCGGAGUGGGGGGCUGUGGGGGGGAGGCGAGCUGACAUUUCCAUGGUGCACUGUGGAGCAAAUGGAGAUUUUAAGGGGGCAGAGCCCACUCCGUCUUUACAGGAGACUAGAGUGCCAUUACAAUGCUGCGUAAUCAAAUUUCUUCCUUUUCUGCAAUCUUUGUUCCAUUUAUUAAUUAAGUGAAAUGACACAAGAGGGUGAGCGCCGGCGGUCUGUGGCACACUUGGGUGUAUUGUUAGGACAGCAGCACCGGCUUGAUUACAGUCAGUGUGAACAGUAGCAGGUUACUUAUUGGGUAAUAAGACUGACCCAGGAGUGUCUUUAUAAGAGUUGAAAGAGGAAUUUUCAGAUAAAAGAGAAAAAAAAAUGUUUUUAAUGAAAUUUAGAAAAUGGGGUCAGAGUACAAUUUAUGGACCAAAUCUUGCCCUCUGGCAUCUGCAAAGAUAGAAAGAAGAGAGGGAGGAGGAAAGACUCAAGAGCCCAGGAAAUUUCUCAUUAGCUCUAUCUCUCCUUUUCCUGUCCAUCUGUAACCCCACGUCAAUGGACUGACUUUAUUUGUAGGCAAGAUAUGCUAUUAUUUUCUCAGGGUUCCUUUUUUCUUUUAAAUACUGGAGGGCUUACCCGUAAAACAGCCUAGCUUACUUUUCUCCAUCAUUGCUUUCCUCUGUGUAGAAUGGGCAGGUGAGUCCUUGGUAGAGUAUUGCCUCACAGAGAAUUCAGGAGAUGCAAUGAGUAUAAAGCCAUCUGUGUUCUGUACCAGAAGACAUGCUGGGAACAGAAACCGGUCAUCAGAGAUCAGUGCCAUGCCCGUAGAAAUGGUGCGAUGAAAGUUUUCUAAAUGAAUAGAUGAACCCAAAAAGGCCUUUACUAUCUGCUCACUGUGGUGGACACGAGGAUGUGCUGUUCAGACCCCUCUCAGACCUGAGGGCCUGAUGCCCCCAGCUGCUGGGGUGCUGCAGGUGGCUGGUCCCUCUGGGUUGUCUGCCUAGGACAGUAGCUUUGCACAAUGGCUGACUGAUGAAGGGGUAGGGAGCCCUGGUCCUCUCACUGAAAUGGGACAGCGUUGAGAGGUCAAUCCAUCUUCAGAACUUCCCAGAGGUUCGGCUGAAAUGUCCACUGAAACUGCAUUGCAGGAGAUCCCGUUGUGGCUCACCAGGUCAAGAACCUGAGUAGUAUCCAUGAGGAGGUGGGUUCAAUCCCAGGCCUUGUUCGUUGGCUUAAGGAUCCAGCAUUACUGCAAGCUGCAGCAUAGGUUGCAGGUGCAGCUCGGAUCUGGGGUUGCUGUGUAGGCCUGGAGCUGCAGCUCCGAUUCGACGCCUAGUUUGGGAACUGCUACAGGCCACAUGUGCGGCCCUAAAAAGAAAAAAAAGAAAGAAAGAAACUGCAUUGCAGCACCACUUCUUCCUCUGCCCAAUUUUGCUUCAUUCUCUUCCUUAUCCUUCCAUAGGUGUCGGAUCCCAAGAGCACUCCCUGAAAAAUGCCCUGCACACCAAUCUCAGUCUCAGAGUCUGCUUCCUAGGGCACCCAAGCUGCAACAUUUGGGAGAUUAUGGCAGACAUCAGGCAGACCUUCUUUGCCUCCUGAAUCUAUGUUUAUUUGCUCCUGCCAUUUGCUUGGCUCUAUUGUUAAGAGAUGAAAAUAUGAGAGAAGAAAAGUUAUGCUCCUUAGAGGCUUUUCUAAUUAACUGUUUGAAAGAGACUUUUAAAAAAUGCCUAAGUGUGAGGUUAUUUGUAUGCCUAAUUCCGUUUUUAUGUUAUACUUACUUUUAAGUGUAAUUUACCAAGGCUUAACACUUGUAUUCUUUCAGGGGCAUUACAAAGAGCAUUGCACAUUUAUUACAGCCCUUCAAAUGGCUGUGUUUUAUUUCCAUAUGCUUUUAAAUGGUUAUUGAGUGGAUUUGGUACUCUUCCUGUAGUUAAAGUGCAUUUUUUUUAUUGUACAUAAAUGGUAAAUAAUUGAUACCUGCCAUAUGUUUCCCUUUCCCUUUCUAAGCUCCCCUUUCCCUUCCCCUCUUCAUUCUCUUCCCUUCUCAGUUCCUAUUGGUUUCUGCCCUUAUCUUGCUCUUUAUCCUUUCCUCUCCUUUCUCUGCAGUUCUCUGCUGCUUUCAACACCAUUUUUCUUGCCUCUCAAUGUGCUCAUUUCAGAGGGGAUUUUUGCAUGGAUUCUUGAGGUCAUUGCAUUAGCUGGUAGGGGUGAAAGAGGCGGGAAAGGGCAUACAGGUUGUUGUUUUGUUUUGUUUUGUUUUUGCUUUUUUUUUUUUAGAUGGUGCCUAGAUCAAGAAUUUUAAAAAGAGAGUGGUUUCAGAGAAUAUUUCUUGAAUAUUUUUUUCCUUCGGAUUGUGAAUUGAUAUCAGGCUAAUUCUUGUUGCCCUGCUUCUCUGACUAACCAGUGACAACCUCUGGAAGCUUGGAUUGAAGGAAAAUGUGGCCAAGUGUCUGAGAUCAUUCUCAGCAGGCAAAGCUGCUCAAGCUGAACAAUUUUAAACAGUGUCUCAUUAGAGAAAGAAGAGGAUAAACAGUGCAAGAGGAAAUUUAAAGACUAUUCAAUGGAAUGAACUUGUUUGAGGGACAUUCCUACUAUAUUGAAGGCACAAAACUAUACAAGUUUUUAUUUCUUUGCUUUUAUAUCUCCAGAAGGCAAAAAUCAAAACCCAUUUAUAGAUAUAACAGCCCACCAACACUAGAAGAGUUUUUCUUUUUGAAAUUUUAGAAAGGAGUUGAAAUUUCAUAUGAAAUGUAAGGCUCCCAGAAUAACCAAAAUAACCUUGAAGAAAAAAAAAAAAAGAACAAAGUUGGAGGACUUAUAUUCUUAAUUUCAAAGCUACAAAGCAACAGUCAUUAUGACAGUAGGGUACUGGGAUAAGGAAAGACAUAUUGAUCAAUUGACUAGAAAUGAGAGCCCAGAAGUAAACAUACGUAUCUAUGAUCAGCUGGUUUUUGAAAAAAAAAAACAAAACAAGACAAAACCUACCUCAUUUAAUGGAGAAAGAAUAGACUUUUCAACAAAUGAUGCUGGUACAACUGGACAGCCACAUACAAGAGAAUGAGCUGGAUCUAUCUUACACCUACACAAAAAUUAACUCAAAGUGGAUUGAAAGCCUAAAUAUAAAAGCUAAACCUGUAAGAUUCCAAGAAGAAAACAUAGGAGUAAACCUUUGUAACUUUGGAUUUGGCAAUGGGUUCUUAGAUAUGACGGUAAAAGCAUAGGCAACAAAGUGAAACACAUGGAUAAAUUUGACUUCUCUUAUAUUAAAAAUUUUUAUUUUUCAAAGUACAUUAUCAGGAAAGUGAAAAGACAACCCACAGAAUGGGUGAAAAUAUUUCCAAAAGAUAUAUCUGAUAAGAAUACUUAGAACAUAUAUUUAGAAUAUAUCAGGAAUUCUUACCAUUCAAUAAUAGACAACCAGAUUUUAAAGUGAACAAAUGAUUUGACUAAACAUUUUUCCAAAGAAAAUAACCAAAAGACCAAAAGCUCAAGAAAAGAUGCUAAACACCAUUAGCAAUCAGGGAGAUGUAAAUCAAAACCACAAUGAGGUAUCAUUUCACACCCACUACAAUAAAGAAGACAGACAAUAAUAAGUGUUGUCAGGAUGUGGAGAAAUUGGAAUCCUCAUAGAAGGUUGGUGGGAAUGUAAAAUGUUGCAGUCAUUUUGGAAAACAGCCUAAUGGUUCCUCAAAGGAUUAAACAGAGAUACGGCAUGGAGUAAAAACCAGCAAUUCCACUUUUAGGUACAUACUCAUGACAGAUGAAAACAGGUUCACAUACAAACUCGUAAUGUUCAUAGCAGCAUUACCUAUAAUAACUAAAAGGUAGAAAUAAACCAAAUGUCUAUCAACUGAUGAAUGGAAGAAUACAAGGUGGUAUAUCCAUACAAUGGAAUAUUAUUUGGCCAUGAAAGGAAGUAUGGGCAAUGAGGUCCUACUGUACAACACAGGGAACUGCAUGUGAUUGGGUCACUUUGCUGUACAGUAGAUAUUAAAGAAACAUUGUAAAUGAACUACACUUUAUUUAUUUA